Molecule: long non-coding RNA, 461 nt
Filed under: Rattus norvegicus (Norway rat)
Lineage: Eukaryota; Metazoa; Chordata; Mammalia; Rodentia; Muridae
Description: long non-coding RNA NONRATT032250
Source: RNAcentral
GGAAGAGUGAAAAAGGAUGUGGGAUUCCACUGCUGUUUAUAGCUGCAAGCCAUUCCACUCAAGGAACAAGUCGUCUCUGGAAAGCAAGACCAAGCCAUCAGCUUGUGAGCUAGGUGAUUUCUGGCUUCAACAAACGCUGGGCUGGAACUUGAACCCUUUGAGGUGCUGAGAUUACAGCACACUACAUCUAGUUGGACUGGUAUUUAUACAGAAUGGAGUCUCUCAGCUACGGAAACCAUUGACUGGACAGCUCAACAUUCCACUCCUGUUGUAUCUCAUAUUGCCACCAGGAGGCGCCAAACACUUCUAAGGUCCUUGCAACAAGACUAAGGUUUGGAAUAUGGUCCUAACACAGGGCACGGUGGAGCACACCUGUAGGCCCUGGAAUAAGGUGACGAGGAUGGGGAAGACGAGUUCCAGAGCAGCCUGGUGGGCUACAGAGCUAGGCCCUCAAAAAAAAG